RNAcentral lists this ribosomal RNA (319 nucleotides) under uncultured eukaryote. Its description in RNAcentral is "partial 18S ribosomal RNA". It matches the Rfam family "Eukaryotic small subunit ribosomal RNA", at positions 1470 to 1796 of the family's 1831-position model. The record is from RNAcentral.
CCCUUAGAUGUUCUGGGCAGCACGCGCGCUACAAUGGUCUUCGCAAACGGAUGCAUUCUCGAAGGAGAAUGCCAAUCUUGGAAUCUAUGCCUUGGUCGGGACAGUUGCUUGCAAUUUUUCGACUCGAACCAGGAGUUCCUUGUAAUCGUGAUUCAUCACAUCACGAUGAAUACGUCCCUGCCCUUUGUACACACCGCCCGUCGCUCCUACCGAUCGAAGAGUUAGGUGAAUUGUUUUGAUCGAUAAGAUUUGACUAUGGUCAACUCUCGUUGUGAAAUUCUGUGAAUCUGACUGUUUAGAGGAAGGAAAAGUCGUAACA